AUAAGAGGCGCAGGUUUCAAGAGUAAUUGCAACAAGUCGGAUAUCGGUUGCAACGAAAGGGGAAACUGCCGAAGUGCCGGAAUGAAUCCGUAAAAACCGGUGCUGGGCCUGUAGAGAACAUCUGCAGGACUGUCACAGCAAUGUGGAGUGCUUUC
This 155-nucleotide non-coding RNA is filed under the name bovine gut metagenome. RNAcentral describes it as "Lysine riboswitch". It matches the Rfam family "Lysine riboswitch aptamer". From Rfam's summary of the family: Riboswitches are metabolite binding domains within certain messenger RNAs that serve as precision sensors for their corresponding targets. Allosteric rearrangement of mRNA structure is mediated by ligand binding, and this results in modulation of gene expression. This family includes riboswitches that sense lysine in a number of genes involved in lysine metabolism, including lysC. The record is from RNAcentral.